Molecule: ribosomal RNA, 262 nt
Filed under: uncultured bacterium
Lineage: Bacteria
Description: partial 16S ribosomal RNA
Rfam family: Bacterial small subunit ribosomal RNA
Source: RNAcentral
UGGGGGGUACGAGAGGGCCGCUACCACGCGAGUGGAUGCCAAUCCCCAAAACCUCUCUCAGUUCGGACUGGAGUCUGCAACCCGACUCCACGAAGCUGGAUUCGCUAGUAAUCGCGCAUCAGCCACGGCGCGGUGAAUACGUUCCCGGGCCUUGUACACACCGCCCGUCAAGCCAUGGGAGCCGGGGGUACCUGAAGUGCGUAACCGCGAGGAGCGCCCUAGGGUAAAACUGGUGACUGGGGCUAAGUCGUAACAAGGUAGC